GUGCCUGAGACGUCCUGACUGAGGAGGACAUUGUGUCAAAGACUCAAGCGAAUCCUCAGGUUUCCAGCUCGAACCGUUACAGUCUCCAUCUUUAACCUCUUUGAUGAAUCUCCACAAAACACACCUAUAGCCUCCACCUUCUGCCACCAGCCUCCAGGCCGACUUCAGGAAGUUCAUCAGUGAUCAGGCAGACGAUGGUCAAGUCC
Melanotaenia boesemani (Boeseman's rainbowfish) is the source of this 206-nucleotide long non-coding RNA. RefSeq lists it as uncharacterized. NCBI's taxonomy places the organism in Eukaryota, Metazoa, Chordata, Actinopteri, Atheriniformes, Melanotaeniidae. The transcript is spliced from 3 exons. The record is from RefSeq and is a predicted model, not a curated record.